Molecule: ribosomal RNA, 256 nt
Filed under: uncultured bacterium
Lineage: Bacteria
Description: partial 16S ribosomal RNA
Rfam family: Bacterial small subunit ribosomal RNA
Source: RNAcentral
UGGCGGACGGGUGAGUAAUGUCUGGGAAACUGCCUGAUGGAGGGGGAGUAACUACUGGAAACGGUAGCUAAUACCGCAUAACGUCGCAAGACCAAAGAGGGGGACCUUCGGGCCUCUUGCCAUCGGAUGUGCCCAGAUGGGAUUAGCUAGUAGGUGGGGUAACGGCUCACCAGGCGACGAUCCCUAGCUGGUCUGAGAGGAUGACCAGCCACACUGGAACUGAGACACGGUCCAGACUCCUACGGGAGGCAGCAUG